AUGAGAUUUGGUCUCUGUUGGGGGUGUUGUUUUGAACUUUUUGUUUGGUGGUUUGUUUUGUUGUCGGAGUUUUUCUGUGCUUGUGUGAUUUUUAAAAAUAUUGUUUAUUUUUUCAUUCUCUCUCUUUUUCCCUCUACUCGCCGUUUUCCGAACGGCGCGGACCUGCCGUGGGGCGGCUGCUGGCAGCCGUGUGUCCCCGCGGAGGGACGGGCCCGGCCGGCGGGGACACAGCGCGGGGACACGGAGCGCCCGGCCCGGCCGGAGCUGCUGGCUCUCACCCUGCUCCUCUCGUCCUCCUUCCGAUCCGCUUUGCCCGGGCCCGCCGUGCCUUUGCCGCCCUCCAUCGCGGGCGCUCCGCGUCCCCUCCGAAGCUCCCAGGAGCAAAUGAGGAUGAUGGGAUCCACUUGGAAAAGACUCCCGGAUGGGGGAGUAGGGUGA
Molecule: long non-coding RNA, 438 nt
Filed under: Parus major (Great Tit)
Lineage: Eukaryota; Metazoa; Chordata; Aves; Passeriformes; Paridae
Description: lncRNA (ENSPMJG00000001539.1)
Source: RNAcentral